This 676-nucleotide ribosomal RNA is filed under the name uncultured Actinomycetes bacterium. Its description in RNAcentral is "bacterial SSU rRNA". It matches the Rfam family "Bacterial small subunit ribosomal RNA", at positions 1 to 689 of the family's 1533-position model. The record is from RNAcentral. Lineage: Bacteria; Bacillati; Actinomycetota; Actinomycetes.
CACUCCCCCGAAAAUCUGGCUUACCUCAACGCUGGAGGAGUGCUUAACACAUGCAAGUCGAACGGUGACCUCGAGAUUUUGCUCUCGAGUGAUCAGUGGCGAACGGGUGAGUAACACGUGAGUAACCUACCCCUGACUCUGGAAUAACAAUUGGAAACAGUUGCUAAUACCGGAUACGACACGAGCGGGCAUCCGCAUCGUGUGGAAAGUUUUUCGGUCUGGGAUGGACUCGCGGCCUAUCAGCUUGUUGGUGAGGUAACGGCUCACCAAGGCGACUACUGGUAGCCGGCCUGAGAGGGCGACCGGCCACACUGGGACUGAGACACGGCCCAGACUCCUACGGGAGGCAGCAGUGGGGAAUAUUGCACAAUGGGCGAAAGCCUGAUGCAGCGACGCCGCGUGAGGGAUGACGGCCUUCGGGCUGUAAACCUCUUUCAGUAGGGAAGAAGCGAAAGUGACGGUACCUACAGAAGAAGCACCGGCUAACUACGUGCCAGCAGCCGCGGUAAUACGUAGGGUGCGAGCGUUGUCCGGAAUUAUUGGGCGUAAAGAGCUUGUAGGCGGUCUGUCGCGUCUGCCGUGAAAAUCCGGGGCUCAACCCCGGACUUGCGGUGGGUACGGGCAGACUAGAGUGUGGUAGGGGAGACUGGGAUUUCCUGGUGUAGCGGUGAAAUGC